UCGCCUACACGAAGUUGGAAUUGCUAGUAAUCGUGGAUCAGCAUGCCACGGUGAAUACGUUCCCGGGUCUUGUACACACCGCCCGUCACACCAUGGGAGCUGGUAACACCCGAAGUCAGUAGUCUAACCGCAAGGAGGACGCUGCCGAAGGUGGGAUUAGCGACUGGGGUGAAGUCGUAACAAGGUAUC
RNAcentral lists this ribosomal RNA (189 nucleotides) under uncultured bacterium. RNAcentral describes it as "partial 16S ribosomal RNA". It matches the Rfam family "Bacterial small subunit ribosomal RNA", at positions 1312 to 1500 of the family's 1533-position model. The record is from RNAcentral.